GACGAACGCUGGCGGCGCGCCUAAUACAUGCAAGUCGAGCGAGAAGACGUAGCAAUACGUUUGUAAAGCGGCGAACGGGUGAGGAAUACAUGGGUAACCUACCCUCGAGUGGGGAAGUAACUAGCCGAAGGUUAGCUAAUACCGCGUACGCUCCUUGGACUUCGGUUCAGGGAGGAAAGCGAUACCGUGGGUAUCGCGCUCUUGGAUGGGCUCAUGUCCUAUCAGCUUGUUGGUGAGGAACGGCUCACCAAGGCUUCGACGGGUAGCUGGUCUGAGAGGACGAUCAGCCACACUGGCACUGCGACACGGGCCAGACUCCUACGGGAGGCAGCAGUAAGGAAUAUUGCGCAAUGGGCGAAAGCCUGACGCAGCGACGCCGCGGUGGGGGAGUGAA
This 394-nucleotide ribosomal RNA is filed under the name uncultured bacterium. RNAcentral's name for it is "bacterial SSU rRNA". It matches the Rfam family "Bacterial small subunit ribosomal RNA", at positions 28 to 412 of the family's 1533-position model. The record is from RNAcentral.